ACGGAGGGUCCAAGCGUUAUCCGGAUUCAUUGGGUUUAAAGGGUCCGCAGGCGGGAAGAUAAGUCAGUGGUGAAAGCCUACAGCUCAACUGUAGAACUGCCAUUGAUACUGUUUUUCUUGAAUAUAGAUGAAGUGGGCGGAAUGUGUCAUGUAGCGGUGAAAUGCAUAGAUAUGACACAGAACACCGAUUGCGAAGGCAGCUCACUAAACUAUUAUUGACGCUCAUGGACGAAAGCGUGGGGAGCGAACAGG
RNAcentral lists this ribosomal RNA (252 nucleotides) under uncultured bacterium. Its description in RNAcentral is "partial 16S ribosomal RNA". It matches the Rfam family "Bacterial small subunit ribosomal RNA", at positions 525 to 776 of the family's 1533-position model. The record is from RNAcentral.